RNAcentral lists this unclassified non-coding RNA (337 nucleotides) under Hevea brasiliensis (rubber tree). The record is from RNAcentral. Lineage: Eukaryota; Viridiplantae; Streptophyta; Magnoliopsida; Malpighiales; Euphorbiaceae.
GUCCCACUUGAGCCAAAGCCUCCUUGAAAUUCAUUCUCAUAACAAACCUGAGAAUAUGGGCUGGUAACUGAAUCAAGAUGAUGUCUAACUAAUUGCUUGCAUUGUUUGGCCAGAUCCUUUAUGAAUCGAUUGUAAGCAUGCCUUAAGGCAGCAUAAAACCCAACAUAUCCAUCCAUAUUUCCACUUUGCUUUGCAUAUUCUGAGUCACGAACACGAUUUCUUUCCAGAGCAAGAUCAAAGAGAUUCCCCAAAACAAAGGCAAGCCUAUCACAAGCAGUGUCAAGAAGAGGAGCAAGCCAUGACCGGGCAGCAGCACGGGCAAUCUCUGCAGAAGCUU